Molecule: transfer RNA, 76 nt
Filed under: Gammaproteobacteria bacterium
Lineage: Bacteria; Pseudomonadati; Pseudomonadota; Gammaproteobacteria
Also listed under: 1 other name
Description: tRNA-His
Rfam family: tRNA
About the family: Transfer RNA (tRNA) molecules are approximately 80 nucleotides in length.
Source: RNAcentral
GUGGGUGUAGCUCAGCUGGUAGAGUCCAGGAUUGUGAUUCCUGUUGUCGCGGGUUCAAACCCCGUCAUCCACCCCA